Molecule: ribosomal RNA, 490 nt
Filed under: uncultured bacterium
Lineage: Bacteria
Description: partial 16S ribosomal RNA
Rfam family: Bacterial small subunit ribosomal RNA
Source: RNAcentral
AUUGAACGCUGGCGGCAGGCCUAACACAUGCAAGUCGAACGGUAACAGGAAGAAGCUUGCUUCUUUGCUGACGAGUGGCGGACGGGUGAGUAAUGUCUGGGAAACUGCCUGAUGGAGGGGGAUAACUACUGGGAACGGUAGCUAAUACCGCAUAACGUCGCAAGACCAAAAAGGGGGACCUUCGGGCCUCUUGCCAUCGGAUGUGCCCAGAUGGGAUUAGCUAGUAGGUGGGGUAACGGCUCACCUAGGCGACGAUCCCUAGCUGGUCUGAGAGGAUGACCAGCCACACUGGAACUGAGACACGGUCCAGACUCCUACGGGAGGCAGCAGUGGGGAAUAUUGCACAAUGGGCGCAAGCCUGAUGCAGCCAUGCCGCGUGUAUGAAGAAGGCCUUCGGGUUGUAAAGUACUUUCAGCGGGGAGGAAGGGAGUAAAGUUAAUACCUUUGCUCAUUGACGUUACCCGCAGAAGAAGCACCGGCUAACUCCGUG